UACGGGGGGAGCAAGCGUUGUUCGGAUUUACUGGGCGUAAAGGGCGCGUAGGCGGCCACUGCAAGUCGGUUGUGAAAUCUCCGGGCUUAACCCGGAAAGGUCAAUCGAUACUGCAGGGCUAGAGUGCGGAAGGGGCAACUGGAAUUCUCGGUGUAGCGGUGAAAUGCGUAGAUAUCGAGAGGAACCCCUGCGGCGAAGGCGGGUUGCUGGGCCGACACUGACGCUGACAGCGCGAAAGCUGGGGGAGCGAACGGG
RNAcentral lists this ribosomal RNA (255 nucleotides) under uncultured bacterium. Its description in RNAcentral is "partial 16S ribosomal RNA". It matches the Rfam family "Bacterial small subunit ribosomal RNA", at positions 524 to 776 of the family's 1533-position model. The record is from RNAcentral.